AGCAGUAGCCGCGGUAACACGUAGAUGGCAAGCGUUGUCCGGAAUUAUUGGGCGUAAAGGGCUCGCAGGCGGUUUCUUAAGUCUGAUGUGAAAGCCCCCGGCUCAACCGGGGAGGGUCAUUGGAAACUGGGAAACUUGAGUGCAGAAGAGGAGAGUGGAAUUCCACGUGUAGCGGUGAAAUGCGUAGAGAUGUGGAGGAACACCAGUGGCGAAGGCGACUCUCUGGUCUGUAACUGACGCUGAGGAGCGAAAGCGUGGGGAGCGAACAGGAUUAGAGACCCCCGUAGUCCCUGUCUCUUAUAC
RNAcentral lists this ribosomal RNA (303 nucleotides) under uncultured bacterium. RNAcentral describes it as "partial 16S ribosomal RNA". It matches the Rfam family "Bacterial small subunit ribosomal RNA", at positions 507 to 807 of the family's 1533-position model. The record is from RNAcentral.